This is an RNA transcript of Zea mays, 3368 nucleotides long. RefSeq lists it as uncharacterized. The record is from RefSeq and is marked validated. The transcript has 7 exons. Lineage: Eukaryota; Viridiplantae; Streptophyta; Magnoliopsida; Poales; Poaceae.
GUUGAAGGGCGGUCCAAUCGCAGUUUCACACUGCCGCCGCCACGGCCCACGGCGCCACGCCCUGUUGCCCGUUUCGUCUCCCGUCCCCUUCCUAGUCUCCCCCCAAAACAAGAAGCGGGCUGGCGGCUGCAGUUUCCCGCCUGCUCGCACAUUGGCGCGAAAUUUGCCGAGCUACCUUGCGCGCUCCCUUCCCGCAUCCCAGCAAUAACACUAUCUACAGUGUAAGCCAAAGUUCCUAGUCCCCCUCCCCUCCGCUCCCUUCUCUCUCCUCCUCACGGACGUCAGAGCUCCUUCCCCAUUCCGGCGUUGCCAAGAAGGCCGGUUUCCGGGCCCUGUCUUCCGCUACCUCGCCGGCCGCCUUUCACCGUCAUACAAGGAAAUAGGAAAUAUUUUUCUGUCUGUACCAUUGCUUUCCAGACCCACAAUGCCUGCUUCUGCUCACAAAAAUCUCGAUUCUGGUUGUCCUAGGAGAUCUACAAGGUUUAAGGAUAUUCAUGUAGUUUAUGAAGAUUCUGACAGGGAUCCUUCUUCUUUUAAGAGGAUCAAAACUGAAGUAAUUGAUUCUGAACUAAGUGUUGGUUCUGUCAGUGACAAGGAUAGUGAACACAAUUGUCAUGAUGUAUUACUCAAGGAUCUCAGGACUCAGUGUAAAGCUAAGAAUCGGAAGAUUUCAAAAAUCACAUUGGAAGGAUGUGGCAUUAAGAAUCAGGUUAAAACAGAAGAUGACAUUGAUCUUGAUAAGCCUAUUGUUGCAUUGAAACAGAAGAGGCUGAAAACAUCUCCUGCUAAGGCUAAUAUAAAGAUGGAUGCGCUAAGAUCUUCUCCAUGUGCUGCUAAAGAGAAAGAUACAACAUCAGCCAGAGACAAGAUUCUUAGUUCUGCACAGACUUUCCUGCUGAAAGCAACAAUGCAAGACCGAGGAUUAGAGAAGCCUGGAAGGAGAAUUGCAGAACUGGAGCAGUCUAAAGUUGUUAUUGAUUCUGCUGAAGAAAUAGUUGGGGAGCAAAUUUAUUGUGCUGAAGUGAACAAUACAGCUGGAGUUCUAGCGGGUUGUGUAAAACCUGAUGUACUAUAUGAAAUAAAAACUGAAGAUACAAAUUAUUCUGAAUUUGGAACUUCUAUGUGUUCCAUAAAGAAUCCUGAUCAUUCAUCCUUUGAGCUGCAACAGAAGCUGGUGGAUGAUGAUGACUGUGUGCCUCCAUUUUGUUUCAUGACCCGACCAGCUCAAUUAGCUGAUGUUUCUGAUCAUUCCUGCGAACAAACCUGCAGUUCCAAAGAAAACAAUUCUGAUGACAUUACAGCUGCAAAGGCAACUGAUGUUGUUUCUUCAUUGGAUCUCACUGAUGAAGUGAGAAAUCAUCAGAAAACAUCUGAAAAUAUAACUAAUUUAGAUGUGGAUAAGUCUUCUACUGCAAAUGGACUUAUGGCUUCUUUCAGUGAGUCCUGCCAUGACCGUAUAGAUAAAGAUGAGCAAUGGAAUUUAUUUGCCCAUGGGAAUGAACCUGCAAAGAUUUUGGAAGAGUUGUCUCCUAUUGAUGAGUCUAGCACAGAUACUCAAUCUGAUUUGUGUAGAAGCACAGAAAUGAAUUUCACUUCACUUGAGGGGGUUGUACGGAUGGAGGCUGAGGGCCAAUUGGAUUCAAUAGUCUGCUGUGGUGUAAGACCAAAGCAUAUGUUACUAGAUAUGGAAAUUGGACAUACAGCCACUGGUACAUUCACCUUUGACAAGACUAUCGACUUAGCUCAUCCUGCCAAUUUUGUUGCACAAGAUGGAAGGCUAGAAAGUAUAGUAUAUGAUGUUUUGAAUAAUCAUGCACAAAGGACAACCUCUAAAAGUAAAUCUUCUGUUGGACUUCCAGAUACUGCUGUGCUUCAGAGCUCACUUAUUGAGUUCACUGACAAUUGUCUGGAAGAUAAAAGGGCUUCAGAUGAUAAAUUUUCACAUCCCAAUAAUGUGGACUUGCCAUUGAAGGAUACGUUAAAUUCUACAAUAGACUAUGACAUUUGUAGAUCUAUUAAUAAUGAAGGAUCAGAAGAAGAAAUAGUGCCUCAACAUCAGUUAUACCAGUCAUGUAGUGAUAAGUUCAACCUUAGCAGUGUCAUGCCAGAGAUCUCUAAUGCUGAAAAAUCACAAAAAUUAUCUGCUGGAACUCAAAAUUCUUCUGCUACUUCUUUGGAAACUGACGGACGAAUUAAAAGGCCAAAUUUUUUUGUGGAUGAGGAAUCAAUUGAAGAACAUGCUCCAAAAGUAUUACUGUCCAAGAGAAAGAUUAUGUCACCAACGUCUCAGGAGAAGCUUUACAGUGCUGUGACUGGUAUUGAUUUGUGUGAUGGAGUCCAAAGAUCGAAUAGCAAAAUCAUUAUUGAAGAUUGUGACAAAACUACAAUAUCAUUGCCUCAGCCAGCACACAUGCAAGGCAAAUCAAUGUUCCACACAGACAGGAGACUUAAGGACAGGACAUCUGUCUCCCCUACAAGCAAAGGACUUCUGAAGUCAACAGGAUCCCCGCCCAAUCAACAGACUUGUUCUUGCAUGAGAAGUUCGCCAGUGGUCUUAGACACUGAGAAAGCUGUUGAGUUUUCACAAAGACAGAUGCAUGAUAUAGAAAAUAUUGCUGCAAAGCUUAUCAGGAGCUUGAAACACAUGAAAAGUAUAGUGGAUGAAAGUUUGUCAACAGAAGCAUACUCUUUACUUCCUAAUUUUAACAUUGCCCAGAGCAGCCUCUGAGGAUGCAUUAGAAGUGGAGAGGACUACGAGGAAAUGGCUGUCGAUAAUGAACAAAGACUGCAGUCGCUUUUGUAAAAUAUUGAGCCUAGCAAAGAAGAAUGAUGUUUCUCAUCCUGAAGCGCCAAGGAAACAAAGAAAAAUAACGUUUGCAGAUGAAGCUGGAGGAAUGCUCUGCCAUGUUAAGUUUUUUAAGGAUGGACAAGCCUCUCUUUCUGAAUGCCAGAGUGAUUUAUAGGCACUAAGCUGGUCUUCAUCAUGAAAUUUGAUCAGAAAGGAAACCUUGUUGACAACAGAAUAUAAUCAAACAAGCUGCUCAGCUCAGAUGGACCAAAAUAAUGAACGCACGCACAGUAUAUUGAACCAAAAUAGUGAACGCACAGUAGAAAACAGACGGAGAAGUUAGCGCAUGUUGAACGCACAGUAUGUAUUUUACUGUAAAUUAAUUGAUGACAUUGUUGUCCCAACUCAGGUAUUAUCCUUGUAUGUUGAGUUCAAGAGUCCAUGUAAAGCGGCAAUUUUUACAAUGUUCGCUGAGGCCACAAGUAUUUGUAACCCAGAAUUGUAGCCUCUGUAAUACAAUUAUUGGAUACUGUUGGUCCAAAGUGCUUUAUUUGAAGGAACUAUUUAAGUUUCAGUAAUA